AGGGUUUGAUCAUGGCUCAGAUUGAACGCUGGCGGCAUGCCUAACACAUGCAAGUCGAACGGAAACGAUGGGAGCUUGCUCCCAGGCGUCGAGUGGCGGACGGGUGAGUAAUACUUAGGAAUCUGCCCAGUAGUGGGGGACAACUCGAGGAAACUCGAGCUAAUACCGCAUACGCCCCAAGGGGGAAAGCGGAGGAUCUUUCGGGACUUCGCGCUAUUGGAUGAGCCUAAGUCGGAUUAGCUUGUUGGUGAGGUAAAGGCUCACCAAGGCGACGAUCCGUAGCUGGUCUGAGAGGACGAUCAGCCACACUGGGACUGAGACACGGCCCAGACUCCUACGGGAGGCAGCAGUGGGGAAUAUUGGACAAUGGGGGCAACCCUGAUCCAGCAAUGCCGCGUGUGUGAAGAAGGCCUGCGGGUUGUAAAGCACUUUCAGUAGAGAAGAAAAGCCUAGGGUUAAUACCCCUGGGUCUUGACGUUACCUACAGAAGAAGCUCCGGCUAACUCCGUGCCAGCAGCCGCGGUAAUACGGAGGGAGCGAGCGUUAAUCGGAAUUACUGGGCGUAAAGCGCGCGUAGGCGGCUUUGUAAGUCGGAUGUGAAAGCCCUGGGCUCAACCUGGGAAUGGCAUUCGAUACUGCAUAACUAGAGUAUGGUAGAGGGAAGUGGAAUUUCCGGUGUAGCGGUGAAAUGCGUAGAUAUCGGGAAGGAACACCAGUGGCGAAGGCGACUUCCUGGGCCAAU
RNAcentral lists this ribosomal RNA (742 nucleotides) under uncultured bacterium. RNAcentral describes it as "bacterial SSU rRNA". It matches the Rfam family "Bacterial small subunit ribosomal RNA", at positions 8 to 738 of the family's 1533-position model. The record is from RNAcentral.